GGGGUGGGCUCGGCGUAUAGCUCCCAACCAUUGUGACCUACCACUGUUGCUUCGGCGGCCUCGCCCCGGGCGCGUUCGCGCGGCCCGGACCCAGGCGUCCGCCGGAGGCUCCAAACUCUUGUCUUUUAGUGUAUUUCUGAGUGGCAUAAGCAAAAAAAUCAAAACUUUCAGCAACGGAUCUCUUGGUUCUGGCAUCGAUGAAGAACGCAGCAAAAUGCGAUAAGUAAUGUGAAUUGCAGAAUUCAGUGAACCAUCGAAUCUUUGAACGCACAUUGCGCCCGCCAGUAUUCUGGCGGGCAUCCCUGUCUGAGCGUCAUUUCAACCCUCAGGACCCGUUCGCGGGACCUGGCGUUGGGGAUCAGCCUGCCCCUGGCGGCGGCUGGCCCUGAAAUCCAGUGGCGGUUCCCUCGCGAACUCCUCCGUGCAGUAAUUAAACCUCUCGCGGCAGGAUAGCGGUUGAACCACCCCGUUAAACCCCCCACUCCCUCAAGGUUGACCUCAGAUCAGGUAGGAAUACCCGCUGAACUUAAGCAUAUCAAUAAGCGGAGGAAUAC
Molecule: ribosomal RNA, 554 nt
Filed under: Trichothecium roseum
Lineage: Eukaryota; Fungi; Ascomycota; Sordariomycetes; Hypocreales
Description: eukaryotic LSU rRNA
Rfam family: 5.8S ribosomal RNA (bases 163-316)
Source: RNAcentral